AUUGAAAGUAAUGUUUCAUCUGAAUCUAGCUCGUGUGGUAGUUCAACAUCAGUUUCAAAGGAUCCUGUCCAUGAAACUUGGCCUCUUCACCGCAAAAAGAUACGCAAAGUUGUAAUUAGGAGAGAAAAGAAGGCUCGAAAGAAAGAGGAAAACUUUGAAAGAGCCCUUCUAAUUGUCAAUACCAGGACAAGGGUUGAUGUGGCAUGGCAGGAUGGAACGAUAGAACGUGGACUGGAAUCGACAAUGUUGAUCCCAAUUGAUAGUCCCGGUGAUCAUGAAUUUACUUCUGAACAGUAUGUGGUGGAGAAGUCCUCUGAUGAUAUCGAUAAUGCUUCUGAAGCUAGACGUGUUGGAGUUGUGAAAAGUGUUAAUGCAAAAGAGCGAACAGCAUGUGUAAGGUGGUUAAAGCAAGUUACCAGGGCAGAAGAUCCUCGCGAGUUUGACAAAGAGGAAAUUGUAAGUGUGUAUGAGCUAGAGGGACAUCCAGAUUAUGAUUACUCCUAUGGGGAUGUGGUUGUUCGAUUAGCCNUCAGUAUCUGCACGAGUUACCUCUGACGGAGAGUCUGUUGGAGAACUAAAGCGGAAAGCUGCACCAAAUGAUACUGUAAAUGUGAAAAAACGCUCAGGAAGUAAGAAAGAAGAUGAUGAAUCCACUGGUGAAGCUUGUAUGGAUUUCUCAGAUCUCUCUUGGGUUGGAAAUAUAACUGGUCUGAGAAAUGGGGAUAUUGAGGUCACGUGGGCUGAUGGGAUGGUUUCAACGGUUGGACCUCAAGCAAUCUUUGUUGUUGGUCGAGAUGAUGAUGAUGAUGACUCAAUUGCAGCUGGGAGUGAAUUAAGUGAUGAUGCAGCUAGUUGGGAAACAGUUGAUGAUGAUGAGAUGGAUGCCCUUGAGAAUGUUCAAGAGGAAGUUGGGCUACGAAAUGCUGCUGAUGUGAACUCUGACGCAGAAGAGACUGUGGGGAAUAAUAAUUCUGGAAGAAAUCCAGCACUUUCUCUCCCUUUGGCUGCACUUGGCUUUGUUACAAGACUGGCCACUGGAAUCUUCUCAAGAGGACGAAAAAAUGUAGAUUCAGAUUUUUCUGAAUCCAGGGGUGAAAAUGGACUUCAGACAGAUGGAGUAAAGAAUAUUUCUGAGGGAAGGGAUUCUGCUUAUGAGACAAACGCUCAGAAAUUUAAUGUCCUAGAUAAUGGGGGUGUGCAAAGUAGUCAUGGUAAAGUAGAGGAACAGGCUGUUGUGGGCUUGGAGGUGCCAAUAUCAUCAGAUGCAGCAGAAACUUUAUGCAAUUUGAGCACAGAUAAAUCAGAUCCUCCAACAUGUUUUGAGGAUGACACUUGCAGUUUCAAACGCUUUGAUAUAGCUAAAGAUCCUCUGGACCAUUAUUUUCUUGGUUCAACUGCACAGAUUAACAAUGGAAGGAAGUGGCUCAAGAAGGUUCAGCAAGAUUGGAACAUUCUUCAGAACAACUUGCCUGAUGGGAUCUAUGUACGAGUUUAUGAAGAUCGAAUGGAUCUCUUAAGGGCAGUAAUUGUUGGGGCAUAUGGAACGCCCUAUCAAGAUGGACUAUUCUUUUUUGAUUUUCACCUUCCACCAGAGUAUCCAGAUGUGCCACUGUCAGCAUAUUACCAUUCUGGUGGUUGGCGAAUAAAUCCGAAUUUGUAUGAGGAGGGCAAGGUGUGCCUUAGCCUUUUAAAUACCUGGACUGGCAGAGGCAAUGAAGUUUGGGAUCCA
Molecule: unclassified non-coding RNA, 1729 nt
Filed under: Hevea brasiliensis (rubber tree)
Lineage: Eukaryota; Viridiplantae; Streptophyta; Magnoliopsida; Malpighiales; Euphorbiaceae
Source: RNAcentral